RNAcentral lists this long non-coding RNA (675 nucleotides) under Rattus norvegicus (Norway rat). RNAcentral describes it as "long non-coding RNA NONRATT031396". Lineage: Eukaryota; Metazoa; Chordata; Mammalia; Rodentia; Muridae. The record is from RNAcentral.
CGACACCUUACCCUGGGCCUACCUGGUAGGCACAUUUCACAGAGUCCAUGGACUCAGCGGAACCGUCAUUGUACAAAGAGCAUGAAGUCACUGCUUUUGAGCACCUCCCGGGCACCGUGUUCCGUGUCGUUUAAUCCUGCCAGGGAAGUGAUUUCAUCACUUGCCCUUUACAGUUGCUUCCAGGGGACAUCUGCUGAGAGGAGCCAGUCAAUAUUGUAGAGAAGUUCAAAGAAUACUCAUCAUUAGCAGUGUCAGCUUUACAACCAGGAGGAGACAAGGCGUUGAGAAGUGCUGGAUUUUAUAACAGUUUCAUUCGCAGAAAUAUGCCUAAUCUUGAAGGGGCUCUAACGCUAGGUAGCUCAAUGAAUUAGCACCGAAGGACGAGGAGUGUGAAAUAAUGCCACUUCCUAAACAGCUGUUAUCAGUCAGCUGGCCCUCCCCACCACACACAUCCAGGAGUUCAGAGCAUGCUUGAAGAAAGCUUUGGAUGCCAGAAAUGAAAUGAGAAGUUGGAGGGUCAGAGGUCAUUCCGAGGAAGGGUUAAAGAACUGUGGGCCGGAUGUGAUUGGCGUAAAUAAAAGAGGAAACUACAAUAAACCAUACAUCCCCUGGUUUAUAAGUACAAAUGCAUGAAUCCAUCGUUUAAUAAAUAAGUAAUUAUUUAUUAAAUAUCAG